Molecule: ribosomal RNA, 253 nt
Filed under: uncultured bacterium
Lineage: Bacteria
Description: partial 16S ribosomal RNA
Rfam family: Bacterial small subunit ribosomal RNA
Source: RNAcentral
UACGUAGGGGGCUAGCGUUGUCCGGAUUUAUUGGGCGUAAAGAGCGUGUAGGCGGCCAGGUAGGUCUGGUGUGAAGACUCGAGGCUUAACCUCGAGAUGUCAUCGGAAACCAUCUGGCUAGAGUCCGGAAGAGGAGAGUGGAAUUCCUGGUGUAGCGGUGAAAUGCGCAGAUAUCAGGAAGAACACCAAUGGCGAAAGCAGCUCUCUGGGACGGUACUGACGCUGAGACGCGAAAGCGUGGGGAGCGAACAGG